GCACAGCAACAGUGUUAGCCAAUGAAAAUGCACCGAAAGCGGGUAUAAACCCUAUAUAAGGGGAGAGCAAAAGAGGAAUCUUUGGUUGGAUCCUCCAGGCAGCUUCGAGUCAAGACCGAGAUGGACAAAGAACUCUGCAGCUGAAGAAGAGCCGGGGCCACAGGGACGAAGACUGUCCUGCGCACGGGGACCAACCCAUCAGCCCCGCAACAUGUGGCUUCAAAUCAGACUUCUCUCAUCGGCUGGGUUCAGACCCCAAGGACAAAGAUGAAGACCAAGGCAAAGAUGAAGAUCAAGGCAAAGACAAAGACCCAAGUCCUGUGUGACCUCACCAUCCAUGCAGAGAUGACAGCUCAUCAGACCAACAGAGAUCCCUGCUUUCGUCAAUCAACCUCCUCCGCCUGCUGCAACAUCUUCUUCAUCAUCGAUCCAGUUCUGGGGUUCGAGACACCAAACUUCGUCCGUCUCUCUAAAAGUGCAGCUUCACAGUUCCACCAGAAGUUUGGAAACUACAUGCCCGAGCAGGAGCUGCGUGUCAAAGGCGGUGCUCGAUCCACCCCAGCGUUUUGCACAACUGAAUGGUUGCCACAGGAGAUUAAAGGAUUUCUCAAACAUGCAUGAAAGAAUAAGGAAUAAGCCCAGUCUGCUUACCGAUGUGGAGCUAACCCUCUGAUCCUCAUUCCUUGGUAUCUCCUGCUGACCGUAUGCCAGCGGCUCCUCUUUUAUGUU
Molecule: long non-coding RNA, 729 nt
Organism: Poeciliopsis prolifica (blackstripe livebearer)
Lineage: Eukaryota; Metazoa; Chordata; Actinopteri; Cyprinodontiformes; Poeciliidae
Exons: 3
Source: RefSeq, a predicted model, not a curated record